This 261-nucleotide small RNA is filed under the name human gut metagenome. Its description in RNAcentral is "5' ureB small RNA". It matches the Rfam family "5' ureB small RNA". RNAcentral also lists the same sequence under 1 other name. The record is from RNAcentral.
UUGCUGUGGGGAAAUAUAGUGAACGUGGCUAUCAAUACCACCUGCGGUUACAAUCAUGCCUUCGGCACUGAUUACUUCAGUGCCUGCACCGAUUGCAAAAUCGAUAUCAUUCUGAAUAUCAGGGUUACCGCUCUUACCAAUCUUAUAAAUGCGACCAUCUUUGAUACCAAUAUCAGCUUUAUAAAUACCAGUGUAGUCUACAACUACAGCAUUAGUGAUUACGGUAUCAACGGUAUCUUUGGUGCUUAGCUGGCUCUGGUC